Molecule: transfer RNA, 73 nt
Filed under: Caudoviricetes sp.
Lineage: Duplodnaviria; Heunggongvirae; Uroviricota; Caudoviricetes
Description: tRNA-Tyr
Rfam family: tRNA
About the family: Transfer RNA (tRNA) molecules are approximately 80 nucleotides in length. Their secondary structure includes four short double-helical elements and three loops (D, anti-codon, and T loops). Further hydrogen bonds mediate the characteristic L-shaped molecular structure. tRNAs have two regions of fundamental functional importance: the anti-codon, which is responsible for specific mRNA codon recognition, and the 3' end, to which the tRNAs corresponding amino acid is attached (by aminoacyl-tRNA synthetases). tRNAs cope with the degeneracy of the genetic code in two manners: having more than one tRNA (with a specific anti-codon) for a particular amino acid; and 'wobble' base-pairing, i.e. permitting non-standard base-pairing at the 3rd anti-codon position.
Source: RNAcentral
UCGAAAAUCGUCUAAUGGUUGGACAAUUGCAUGUAACGCAAAAAAUGUUGGUUCGAUUCCAACUUUUCGGCCA